Hydra vulgaris (swiftwater hydra) is the source of this 638-nucleotide non-coding RNA. Lineage: Eukaryota; Metazoa; Cnidaria; Hydrozoa; Anthoathecata; Hydridae. The record is from RefSeq and is a predicted model, not a curated record.
AGUAAUAUAACCAUCUUUAUAUCAUCAAAGGAGUUUGUUAAUGUUAGAGAUAAAUUAAAUGAGAAAGGUUUUAGUGCUUUACAUUUAGCUGCACAAUAUAAUAACGCAAAUGUUGUGGUAUCUGCUUGAAAAUCGGGCUUUAAUUGAUAGUCCAGAUAGAGAUGAUGGUAAUACACCUUUACUAUUGGCAGCAAAAUAUAAAAAGACAAAUGCUGCUGUAUUUCUUUUUGAAAAAGGUGCAAAUGUCUUGAUCAGAAAUUGAAAGAACCACAGCAUUGCACUAUGCAAGUAGAUGUGGUGAUAAAAAACUUGUAAUAAAGAUUUCUAAAAUCUGUUAACAUUAAUGUAGAAGAUAACAAUUUGUGAGCUGAACUGGUCUUCACGGGUCUUGGUACGUGGCCUCUAUGACAAGUAGCCGGAGGAGGUUAUCAGAUUGUUAGAUGAGAAAAGAGCCAUACUUGAUGUCAAUGAUAAAAAAAAUUAUACUGCUGGUAUAUGUGCUGUAUGGAAAGGACAUUUAGAAAUUAUAGAGUAUCUAAUUGGUCAAAGUUUUUAAAUAAAUUCAACUGAUAUUAACAACAAGAAUGCUGUUCAUAUUGUACUUAAAGAAAAUCAAAUAGAAGUUAUAAAAUUUUUAG